GUCGGGAUAGCUCAGCCUGGUAGAGCAGAGGACUGAAAAU
RNAcentral lists this transfer RNA (40 nucleotides) under Castilleja arachnoidea. Its description in RNAcentral is "partial tRNA-Phe". The record is from RNAcentral. RNAcentral also lists the same sequence under 1 other name. Lineage: Eukaryota; Viridiplantae; Streptophyta; Magnoliopsida; Lamiales; Orobanchaceae.